This 1470-nucleotide ribosomal RNA is filed under the name metagenome. RNAcentral's name for it is "bacterial SSU rRNA". It matches the Rfam family "Bacterial small subunit ribosomal RNA". The record is from RNAcentral.
AGAGUUUGAUCCUGGCUCAGGACGAACGCUGGCGGCACGCUUAACACAUGCAAGUCGAACGAGAGAAGAGGAGCUUGCUUUUCUGAUCUAGUGGCGGACGGGUGAGUAACACGUGAGCAAUCUGCCUUUCAGAGGGGGAUACCGAUUGGAAACGAUCGUUAAUACCGCAUAACAUAAUUGAACCGCAUGAUUUGAUUAUCAAAGAUUUAUCGCUGAAAGAUGAGCUCGCGUCUGAUUAGCUAGUUGGUAAGGUAACGGCUUACCAAGGCGACGAUCAGUAGCCGGACUGAGAGGUUGAUCGGCCACAUUGGGACUGAGACACGGCCCAGACUCCUACGGGAGGCAGCAGUGGGGAAUAUUGCACAAUGGAGGAAACUCUGAUGCAGCGAUGCCGCGUGAGGGAAGAAGGUUUUAGGAUUGUAAACCUCUGUCUUCAGGGACGAAAAAAGACGGUACCUGAGGAGGAAGCUCCGGCUAACUACGUGCCAGCAGCCGCGGUAAUACGUAGGGAGCGAGCGUUGUCCGGAAUUACUGGGUGUAAAGGGAGCGUAGGCGGGAUCGCAAGUCAGAUGUGAAAACUAUGGGCUUAACCCAUAAACUGCAUUUGAAACUGUGGUUCUUGAGUGAAGUAGAGGUAAGCGGAAUUCCUAGUGUAGCGGUGAAAUGCGUAGAUAUUAGGAGGAACAUCAGUGGCGAAGGCGGCUUACUGGGCUUUAACUGACGCUGAGGCUCGAAAGCGUGGGGAGCAAACAGGAUUAGAUACCCUGGUAGUCCACGCCGUAAACGAUGAUUACUAGGUGUGGGGGGACUGACCCCUUCCGUGCCGCAGCAAACGCAAUAAGUAAUCCACCUGGGGAGUACGACCGCAAGGUUGAAACUCAAAGGAAUUGACGGGGGCCCGCACAAGCAGUGGAGUAUGUGGAUUAAUUCGAAGCAACGCGAAGAACCUUACCAGGUCUUGACAUCGUAUGCAUAGCUCAGAGAUGAGUGAAAUCUCUUCGGAGACAUAUAGACAGGUGGUGCAUGGUUGUCGUCAGCUUGUGUCGUGAGAUGUUGGGUUAAGUCCCGCAACGAGCGCAACCCUUACUGUUAGUUGCUACGCAAGAGCACUCUAGCAGGACUGCCGUUGACAAAACGGAGGAAGGUGGGGAUGACGUCAAAUCAUCAUGCCCCUUAUGACCUGGGCCUCACACGUACUACAAUGGCUGUCAACAGAGGGAAGCAAAGCCGCGAGGUGGAGCGAACCCCUAAAAGCAGUCUUAGUUCGGAUUGUAGGCUGCAACCCGCCUACAUGAAGUCGGAAUUGCUAGUAAUCGCAGAUCAGCAUGCUGCGGUGAAUACGUUCCCGGGCCUUGUACACACCGCCCGUCACGCCAUGGGAGUCGGUAACACCCGAAGCCUGUAGUCUAACCGCAAGGAGGACGCAGUCGAAGGUGGGAUUGAUGACUGGGGUGAAGUCGUAACAAGGUA